GAUGGGAAGAUGCAGUUGUACUGGAGCGGUUCUUCAUUUUGUGCACAGCCAGGUGAAACACAAACAGUGACAAAUUGAUGAUGGAGCGGAACACAUUAGCGUGAAAAUCCUCAGAUGCCUCAUAAGGUAUUUCCUCUGAGUCUGCUGAAGUGAUAACACUAUUGCAAGUGGCUUCUCCAGAAAGGAAAUAGUCCCUUGUUGGCAAUCGGUUUGAUUGGAUUGCGGUGAAGCUUCACAUCAGUACUGAAAUACAAUCUGUAUAGCCAGCAGAAGUAUGUUAGGAAACAAGGAGAGGAUUGCUGUGCAGGUUGUCGUUGUCUGGCAGCAUGGGGUGAGUUGGGGGCUGGCACCAGAAAGGGCAGCAAGUGGAAGGGUCUAAGCAGUGUACUCUCGAGAGGCUGAGAAACCCCAAAUGAAAGCAUCUCUAGUUCUCUCCUUGCCCCCUAGUGUCCAUUCAUGUUAAAGAUUCUGGUUCAUCCCUGAGAUUAAAGCAGUGUUUGUGCCUCUUGUGCAAGUUUUUUGGGGUAACUCUCCAGGUGGAUCUUUGAGCCCUUAAGAAAACAGAGGAGAAUACAUCUGCCCUUCAGCCCCGGCUUGCCCAAAACUUGUGUGAACAAUCUGGAUGUUGUGUCCCCAACCUCUUGGGUGCACAUACCAUGCUCACCCCAAUCUCUCACACCCAUGGGUAUAAGCCUCUCCUAAUCAGGUGAAAGCAGUUGUUAGACCUUUUGUUACACCUCCAGUUCUAAGAUUCAAGCAGCUUUUAAUUCCCAAGUCAAUUUAGCUUUGGGCAAAAAGCAAUUGUGCUACCCUGUCUGGUGCAUGCAGCAACCCACAGUGCUGCUCUGCCCAUCGGCUGCUGCAGGAGAUGCGCUGGGAGCUGCAGGCAGGGGCUGUAGAAAUUGAGGUGUUUGAUGUUUGCUUGUUUAUAUAUUUAGCAGCUGCUGUCUCCACAAGAGCCCCUUUCUGCAGAGGAGUGAUAAGCCAUGCUUGACUCCUGCUUGCCCACCCCUGCUGGCUCCCGUUUGCUGCCAUCUCAUCAACAGGCACCAAAAAGCUCCACUUCCAUCCCUGCUGGGCUGCCACCCCUGCCCUGCUCUGAAAUGCUGCCUGAGUGUCAUGGAAACAGCACAUGGAGCUGCCGUGCACAGGAAGGGAGAGGGGAGCAAGCCAAGGGAGCCUGGUACUAA
This 1190-nucleotide long non-coding RNA is filed under the name Coturnix japonica (Japanese quail). RNAcentral's name for it is "lncRNA (ENSCJPG00005007195.1)". The record is from RNAcentral. Lineage: Eukaryota; Metazoa; Chordata; Aves; Galliformes; Phasianidae.